RNAcentral lists this ribosomal RNA (327 nucleotides) under uncultured eukaryote. RNAcentral describes it as "partial 18S ribosomal RNA". It matches the Rfam family "Eukaryotic small subunit ribosomal RNA", at positions 1470 to 1796 of the family's 1831-position model. The record is from RNAcentral.
CCCUUAGAUGCUCUGGGCCGCACGCGCGCUACACUGAUUCAUGCAACAAGUUUUGUCCUUGGCUGAUAGGCCUGGGUAAUCUUUGAACGUGAAUCGUGAUGGGGAUAGAUGAUUGCAAUUAUUCAUCUUCAACGAGGAAUUCCUAGUAAACGCAAGUCAUCAGCUUGCAUUGAUUACGUCCCUGCCCUUUGUACACACCGCCCGUCGCACCUACCGAUUGAAUGGUCCGGUGAAAUCUUCGGAUCUGAGAGAUGUCUGAUUAAUUUCGGACGCCUUUUGGAAAAGUUGCUUAAACCUUACCAUUUAGAGGAAGGUGAAGUCGUAACA